UACGUAGGUGGCGAGCGUUGUCCGGAUUUAUUGGGCGUAAAGGGAACGCAGGCGGUCUUUUAAGUCUGAUGUGAAAACCUUCGGCUUAACCGAAGUAGUGCAUUGGAAACUGGAAGACUUGAGUGCAGAAGAGGAGAGUGGAACUCCAUGUGUAGCGGUGAAAUGCGUAGAUAUAUGGAAGAACACCAGUGGCGAAAGCGGCUCUCUGGUCUGUAACUGACGCUGAGGUUCGAAAGCGUGGGUAGCAAACAGG
Molecule: ribosomal RNA, 253 nt
Filed under: Ligilactobacillus ruminis
Lineage: Bacteria; Bacillati; Bacillota; Bacilli; Lactobacillales; Lactobacillaceae
Description: partial 16S ribosomal RNA
Rfam family: Bacterial small subunit ribosomal RNA
Source: RNAcentral